GAUGAAGAACGUAGCGAAACGCGAUAAGUAAUGUGAAUUGCAGAAUUCAGUGAAUCAUCGAAUCUUUGAACGCACAUUGCGCCCCCUGGUAUUCCGGGGGGCAUGCCUGUUCGAGCGUCAUUUCACCACUCAAGCCUCGCUUGGUAUUGGGCAACGCGGUCCGCCGCGUGCCUCAAAUCGACCGGCUGGGUCUUCUGUCCCCUAAGCGUUGUGGAAACUAUUCGCUAAAGGGUGUUCGGGAGGCUACGCCGUAAAACAACCCCAUUUCUAAGGUUGACCUCGGAUCAGCUAGGGAUACCCGCUGAACUUAAGCAUAUCAAUAAGCGGAGGA
Molecule: unclassified non-coding RNA, 331 nt
Filed under: soil metagenome
Description: partial contains 5.8S ribosomal RNA, internal transcribed spacer 2, and large subunit ribosomal RNA
Rfam family: 5.8S ribosomal RNA (bases 1-120)
Source: RNAcentral